This 2906-nucleotide unclassified non-coding RNA is filed under the name Hevea brasiliensis (rubber tree). The record is from RNAcentral. Lineage: Eukaryota; Viridiplantae; Streptophyta; Magnoliopsida; Malpighiales; Euphorbiaceae.
AAAAGAACGAGCAGUAUUCCCAUAUAAGAAUAAUUAAAAGUUGAUCCAAAAAUCUAAAUUAUCAUAUACAUUCCAAAAUAUCGCCUACCUCAAUUGAAUUUUUUAAACCAACUAAUGUAUGAAGGUGGUAAUAAAUCUUAAGUACCAAAACUCUGUAUGCUGUAGAAGGUGACCCCAAAAGCAAAAGGAACAGAGAAAAGCCUAAUUCUCUGUUCUAAGUAUAGGAACUUGAAUACCAGCAUCUAUAUAGGGACUGUACAUGUUGUUCUAAAAUGUCCAGUCUGAUGACAGCGGCUGCAAUGAACUGGUCGUUUAACUCGCCCACCAUCUUCUGUACGCACUCUCUUUUUCCUUGAUUUUCCUGGCGGUGGCCGGAAGGACCUUGGCGGGUUUAUCCUGGGCCCAACAUCGUUAUAGCCUUCAUUCCUCCAAAGGGCUUUAUCCGGAAUUGGGUGUAUGGUCUGGGAGUAUGCCUUGCGAUAAUUUGCCACAGUGAAACAGCUUUCAGCAAACCGAUAAACAUUCUGCCUGCAAAACAUGAGAGCUGCCACAGCAUGAUCACAGGGCAAGCCACGUAGCUGCCAUCCACGACACGAACACUGACGGCUACGAAUGUUCACUAUAUGCGAUCCUUCUCUAGAGACAACUUCAAACUCAGCAUCGUUUGCUUUGAGAACAUGGCAAUUGUGUGCACGCUUGAUAGCUUCGGAGACUUGCAAUUCAGCAGAUGGAACGAGUGUGCUUGCCCACUGCAAACUUGUUUCACGCCGCUCAUUGAUCAAUGUCAUCAACUGUCGACGAAUAUACUCCAUCAUUUGAAUUAUUGGAAAUCCAGAGGAUUCCAGUAUCAGAGCAUUUAAAGAUUCAACAAUGUUAGCUGUUAGCUGUCCAAGUCUUGUUCCUUCAAAACAUGCCGUAGCCCACAAGCACGGGUCAAUGCUUCUUACCCAACAUGCUGCUUGCGGUGACAUCUCCUCAAUCAGAAAGAUUUUUUGCUCAAACUCCAUUACAGUGAGAGCGUUAGCAGCUUCCCAGAAAAGGUUAAUUAGGAUGGUGUUGUUGAACUCCUUGCGGAAACUUUCUGCAAGAAGAUGCAAGCAGAAUCCAUGAAAAGCUGUUGGGAAGUUUACUUCUAUUCCGUCAACAAUACCCUUCUGUCUGUCCGAAAGAAUUGUAAGCUUAGGCAUGUUUUCUGUGUUGGCUUCAAGCAAGUUAUGCAGCUCAGAAAGGAACCACAUCCAGUUAUCGUCAUUUUCAUUAUCAACCACGCCAAAUGCCAAAGGAAAUGCAGUGCUAUCACCAUCAAAACCAGUGGCAAAAAGCAAGGUCCCGACAUACUUGCUUCUCAGAAGAGUUCUAUCAAGUCCAAUAAGAGGCCAGCAUCCAUUCAAAAAUCCAUAUAUUGAUGCUUGGAAUGAGAUAAAUAGCCGUUCAAAACAAUUGUCAACAGGAUUCCCGUAAACCACUGCAAUGCUUCCAGGAUUCGUCCUUCGUAGCUGAUCACAAUAAAGUGGGAGGAGGUGAUACUCUUCCUCGAAUGAUCCACGAACAGUAGCCAAGAACCGCUCCUUUGCCCUCCAGGCUUGCUUGUAGGAUAAUGUGAUCCCAUGAACUCGAUGUAUCUCCUCAAGUAUCUCCUUUGGCGUGUAAUGAGGGUUCUCUUUGAGGCGCUGUUCAAUGGAGUCUGCAACCCAUUGGACGGAGGCUUGCAGAUGACCGAGAUGUGUAAUUCCACCACAAGUAUGUUCCUCAUGAAUAGUCCUGAUAGUGAAUGUAGGAACACCUGGGAGCUUUGCCACAUGAAUUCGCCAAGGGCAUCCCUCACUUGCACAUUUAGCAGUGAAACGAGUUUUGUCAGACUUGAUUGUUUGCAUCUCAAAGUGAAAAGCAAUCGCUGCAUCUCUGAGUGCUCUUCGGCAGCUGUGAACAUCAGGAAACUCUUGCCCAACAGUCAGUUCUAGCGCUUGAGACUGAAGGAUAGGUGGAUCUCUCACUAUCAGUGGCUGCUGAAAAUUCUCAUCUGAGAUUUGAACAAUACCCAUCUCCUGAUUUUCAUUAAUAUCAGCAUACUCUACUGUAGCCAACUCAUGAUUCUCUCGUGAACCUACUUCAUAGCUUUGAUCUGUGCCAGUCAAGUGAUUUUCAUGGUCCUCAACAUUAGUAUUGUUUUGAUUAAUAUCAGCAUUGUCUUCUCUAUCAAAAUAUGCUCCAUUCUCUUUAAAAUAGUGAACAUCUCCAUGUCGCUGAACUGAAUCAUGUUCAUUGGCCUGACUAAGAACUAGUUGGUCAUCAGUGUGUCCUAAGCUGAAGUCUCCAACAUAGUCAUUGGCAACAUCCACAUCCAAAUUAUGACCGUUGAUGUCUGACAAAUCAAAAUUAUGACUAUGAACUAAUACUGAACUGCAACUAUGUCCUGGUUCCAAGUAUUGAUUCUGCCUCAACAGUAAAUCAUUAUGCUCCAUAAUAAAUCAAAUACGCAACAGGAAUAACCUGCACUUCGAAAAGCAUUCAAGAAUCAACAUCAUUUUGGUUCAGUUUUAAACUGAAUAACAAACAUAUGCCUUCACUGUAAAUUCGAACUGAACUACACAUAUCUAGUGAAAAAACAGAACGUGUGCAUCUAUCGAACAGAGCAAAGCAUUAAUAAAAAUCAUAGAACAUCAAAUCAACAUCCCUAAAAUUUAUGGAUAUCUAAAACUCGUUACCAUAAACCUGUUUGGUUGCCCAGAAACAUGAAAAAUUGAAAUAUUAGAGUCUCUUUUUUUUUUUUAAAAAAAAUGCAAAUUAAUCGAUUGAUAUCCCAUAUGUGGGCUGUAAAUUUCCAAGUAGAUAUUGUUUUCUUUACAUUCAUUGUGGGAAAUUUGACAUCAUUGAUUCUGUCUUCUACAAACAUUUCAUGAUGUGGG